GACGAACGCUGGCGGCGUGCCUAAUACAUGCAAGUAGAACGCACAGUUUAUGCCGUAGCUUGCUACACCAUAGACUGUGAGUUGCGAACGGGUGAGUAACGCGUAGGUAACCUGCCUGGUAGCGGGGGAUAACUAUUGGAAACGAUAGCUAAUACCGCAUAAUAUUGAUUAUUGCAUGAUAAUUGAUUGAAAGAUGCUAUUGCAUCACUACCAGAUGGACCUGCGUUGUAUUAGCUAGUAGGUGAGGUAACGGCUCACCUAGGCGACGAUACAUAGCCGACCUGAGAGGGUGAUCGGCCACACUGGGACUGAGACACGGCCCAGACUCCUACGGGAGGCAGCAGUAGGGAAUCUUCGGCAAUGGACGAAGGUCUGACCGAGCAACGCCGCGUGAGUGAAGAAGGUUUUCGGAUCGUAAAGCUCUGUUGUAAGAGAAGAACGGGUGUGAGAGUGGAAAGUUCACACUGUGACGGUAUCUUACCAGAAAGGGACGGCUAACUACGUG
This 505-nucleotide ribosomal RNA is filed under the name uncultured bacterium. RNAcentral's name for it is "partial 16S ribosomal RNA". It matches the Rfam family "Bacterial small subunit ribosomal RNA", at positions 28 to 507 of the family's 1533-position model. The record is from RNAcentral.